RNAcentral lists this ribosomal RNA (253 nucleotides) under uncultured bacterium. Its description in RNAcentral is "partial 16S ribosomal RNA". It matches the Rfam family "Bacterial small subunit ribosomal RNA", at positions 524 to 776 of the family's 1533-position model. The record is from RNAcentral.
UACGGAGGGUGCAAGCGUUAUCCGGAUUUACUGGGUUUAAAGGGUGCGUAGGCGGGCUUUUAAGUCAGUGGUGAAAUCUCCGGGCUCAACCCGGAAAUUGCCAUUGAUACUAUUAGUCUUGAAUUAAGUUGAGGUGGGCGGAAUGUGUCAUGUAGCGGUGAAAUGCUUAGAUAUGACACAGAACACCGAUUGCGAAGGCAGCUCGCUAAACUUAUAUUGACGCUGAGGCACGAAAGCGUGGGGAUCAAACAGG